GCCGGGGUAGCUUAGCUUGGUUAUAGCGCCAGACUCAUAAUCUGGAGUUCGAGGGACCGAAAGAGUCCCUAAUCAUUAAAAAGGAUCUCCGGUAAGCCCUCCCCCGGCA
RNAcentral lists this transfer RNA (109 nucleotides) under Promethearchaeota archaeon. Its description in RNAcentral is "Candidatus Lokiarchaeota archaeon (microbial mat metagenome) tRNA-Met". It matches the Rfam family "tRNA". Rfam says of the family: Transfer RNA (tRNA) molecules are approximately 80 nucleotides in length. Their secondary structure includes four short double-helical elements and three loops (D, anti-codon, and T loops). Lineage: Archaea; Promethearchaeati; Promethearchaeota. The record is from RNAcentral.